GUAAUAUGUUAUUUUUUGGAGAGUAUCGGAUAGAUUACGAUUCGGAGAUUAAUGGCUGUUGAGUAAUACGUGUUAGUAAUAAUCCUCUUUUUAACACGGUCUGAUGGAAAAGCUUUAAAUUAAUUACACAUGAAAUCUGUCGAUCAUGGUCGCGAGAAAAUGAGAAGAAAAAACAGAGGAUCUAUAUCUGUAGAUUCUGUACUGCUAAUUUAAAUAAACGAAGGCUAGAUUUCUAAGUAGAUCCCCAUCGUGCCGUAUCAAAUUUAAUUUAUAGUAUGUGAGCUGCGUUGCUGCCAUGCAGAUAAUUUUGUUGCUGCCAGCUUGGUGAGAGGUAGUUCGAGUUGACCUGCAGUUGCUGCAAGCAACCCAUUCCAAUCCCCAGUAACAUCAACCAGAAGAAGGAAAGACCAGUUUGCAUGUCCUUCCUUCGCGCUCGAAGGUCACAUUGAUGUUUAAGUUAUUAAACGUGGAUGCAGUGCUGUAGAGGUUGGACCCAUCCCCAUCAGCGACGUCAACCUGUAGAAGGAUAGGCCAGUUUGCUUCGAAGGUCACGGAAAUCAUUAGGUAAAACGUGUCAUGUGGUGUAGAGGUUGGGUGAGAAAGUGACGUGUUUCAUUAUCAAGCAGGUACUACAAUACCCGCAAGGCUUAGGAGGUGAUGGUGAGAAAAAAUUCGUAUAAAAGGAGAGAGAAAAGAAUACAGACAUCAGUUAGGUGAUCAACCGACACGGCAACAACUCCUGUGGACUACCUACAACCAAUUGGCUUCUUCAUUACCAGCUUCGCAACAUUCCGAUUUUCUACAUAGAGUCCGAUUUUCUACAUAGAGU
Molecule: long non-coding RNA, 829 nt
Organism: Daphnia pulicaria
Lineage: Eukaryota; Metazoa; Arthropoda; Branchiopoda; Diplostraca; Daphniidae
Exons: 3
Source: RefSeq, a predicted model, not a curated record